Molecule: long non-coding RNA, 305 nt
Organism: Cucurbita moschata (crookneck pumpkin)
Lineage: Eukaryota; Viridiplantae; Streptophyta; Magnoliopsida; Cucurbitales; Cucurbitaceae
Exons: 3
Source: RefSeq, a predicted model, not a curated record
AGAAAGAAGAAGAAGACAGAGGAGAGGGUGGAGCAUUGGAGAUGAACGACGGAGCUUGAAGCACUCGUUAGCAACGGUGGGCCGAACGGUUGAGAAAGGGAGAACGCCGACGGUUAUUGUCGAGGGAAGUUGGUGAGUCCUUGUGAAGAAGAAGACAUGGGGUGUUGAGAGGAAAGAAAGAUCAAGAAGAAGGUGGGAAGAAGAGGCCGAAAACUGAGGGGGCAUGACCUGACCCGACCCGACCCACCUGAGAAAAGUAGAUCUGGGUCGGUGGCGGGGACGUGUGGAGUCGUGCAGCUGUAGAA